UGUGGUAUAGCUCAGUGGUGGAGCACUUACCUUACAGUGUAAGGCCCUGAGUUCCAUCCCAGCACCACAA
This 70-nucleotide transfer RNA is filed under the name Heterocephalus glaber (naked mole-rat). It matches the Rfam family "tRNA". From Rfam's summary of the family: Transfer RNA (tRNA) molecules are approximately 80 nucleotides in length. Their secondary structure includes four short double-helical elements and three loops (D, anti-codon, and T loops). Lineage: Eukaryota; Metazoa; Chordata; Mammalia; Rodentia; Bathyergidae. The record is from Rfam by way of RNAcentral.